Molecule: ribosomal RNA, 116 nt
Filed under: Propylenella binzhouense
Lineage: Bacteria; Pseudomonadati; Pseudomonadota; Alphaproteobacteria; Hyphomicrobiales; Propylenellaceae
Source: RNAcentral
CCUGGUGGCCCUUGCGAGGGGCCCAGCACCCGAUCCCAUUCCGAACUCGGCCGUGAAAUCCCUCAGCGCCAAUGGUACUAAGCCUCAAGGCUUGGGAGAGUCGGUCGCCGCCAGGC